This 88-nucleotide transfer RNA is filed under the name Caudoviricetes sp. RNAcentral's name for it is "tRNA-Ser". It matches the Rfam family "tRNA". Rfam says of the family: Transfer RNA (tRNA) molecules are approximately 80 nucleotides in length. Lineage: Duplodnaviria; Heunggongvirae; Uroviricota; Caudoviricetes. The record is from RNAcentral.
GGUAUCUUGUCCGAGUGGUUUAAGGAACCUGUUUUGAAAACAGGCAAGUGCAAAAGCUUCCUAGGUUCGAAUCCUAGAGAUACCGCCA